CGGGAAUUUUGGGCAAUGGGCGAAAGCCUGACCCAGCAACGCCGCGUGAGGGAUGAAGGCCCUCGGGUCGUAAACCUCUGUCGGGAGGGGAGAACGGUCGCGAUUCGAACAGGAUCGCGGCCUGACGGUACCUCCAAAGGAAGCACCGGCUAACUCCGUGCCAGCAGCCGCGGUAAUACGGAGGGGGCUAGCGUUGUUCGGAAUUACUGGGCGUAAAGCGCACGUAGGCGGCUUUGUAAGUUAGAGGUGAAAGCCCGGAGCUCAACUCCGGAAUUGCCUUUAAGACUGCAUCGCUUGAAUCAUGGAGAGGUGAGUGGAAUUCCGAGUGUAGAGGUGAAAUUCGUAGAUAUUCGGAAGAACACCAGUGGCGAAGGCGACUUACUGGACAACUGUUGACGCUGAGGUGCGAAAGCGUGGGGAGCAA
This 424-nucleotide ribosomal RNA is filed under the name uncultured bacterium. RNAcentral describes it as "bacterial SSU rRNA". It matches the Rfam family "Bacterial small subunit ribosomal RNA", at positions 356 to 771 of the family's 1533-position model. The record is from RNAcentral.